ACCGAUUCUCUAUAGACGUUACCAUCUGUUCGCGUAUGAGCGCACGGGCACGAGCCAAUCAGAGCCGCUGGAACGGCUGACCUUCGGUCAAACGCAAAAAACCCCUCGCCUUUCGGGAGAAAACCCCUCCCGGCGGCCGCAUCCCCCCCCGAAAAUCCCGUACGCGCCGCCAUGGAAAUGGAGAUCGAUUCUGCUCCGAGCGCGACGCCGGAGCAACGGCCGAUCAGGGACGAAGACCUCUUCAAAGCCGCCGAGGGUGGCGAUCCCGCGGCGUUCAGAGCGCUCGCGCGGGACCAGCUCUCCAAGGUGCUCUCCCUCCGGAACGAGGACGGUCGGUCCCUCCUCCACGUCGCCGCUUCCGCCGGUCACGCCGAGAUAGUGGAUAUACUGUCAGAUGCUGAUCAGUCAACAAGUGUGAUAAACAGCAAAGAUGAAGAAGGUUGGGCCCCGCUUCAUUCUGCAUCGAGCAUUGGGAAUGAACAGAUUGUGGAGAUCUUGUUGAGGAAAGGAGCUGAUGUUAACUUAAAGAAUGAUGGCGGACGUACUGGUCUCCAUUAUGCCGCCAGUAAAGGAUGGUUGAAAGUCGCUGAAACUCUGAUUUCACACGGUGCAAAUAUCAAUGCAAAGGAUAAGGUAGGGAGCACUCCAUUGCAUCGUGCUGCGGGCACAGGGAAAUCAGAAAUGUGUGAAUUUCUGAUCGAGGAAGGAGCUGAGGUUGACCCUGUUGAUAAAGCAGGCCAAACGCCUUUGAUGGCUGCAGUAAUUUGCUACAAUAAAGAGGUCUGACAACAGUGAAGUAGUCAUGCAAUUUGCUUUGUUUUGCACUGAAUUAAAGGCUAGGUACAAUUUUACAUGUAUAUCUGCAAACUAUUUUAUACAUUCAUAUAUAUAGCCCUGAGUCCUUUGGGCAGUUACUGGGAUUGAAAAAUUAGAGUCAGCUAGAUCCCUCCUUUAAUGAGAGAAACUGAGGUGGGACAAGGCUUGUCACCCUCCUCCUGUCCUAGCAACCUUUGAAUUGGUCUGUCAGUUAGAAUUGCCGAUUAGGCUAUUCAUAUUCAAAUUUGUAAAUAACCAUACGUGUAAUUCUGCUGUCAUUGCUGGGGCAAAGGCUUGCUGGAGCUUGAACUGAGUGAGGUGGCUAUGCUGUUGAUAAGGCAUGGAGCAGACGUAGAUGUGGAAGAUAAAGAAGGAUACACCGUGCUUGGCAGGGCAUCACAUGACUGGAGACCAGCACUCAUGGACGCCGCGAAAGCCAUGCUCGAAGGAUGAUCCC
This is an RNA transcript of Eucalyptus grandis, 1273 nucleotides long. It is a transcript of the gene named 26S proteasome non-ATPase regulatory subunit 10, with no coding region annotated. The transcript has 5 exons. Lineage: Eukaryota; Viridiplantae; Streptophyta; Magnoliopsida; Myrtales; Myrtaceae. The record is from RefSeq and is a predicted model, not a curated record.